GUGAUGUGGGAGGAGGGGUGGGGGCAGCAUUCUGGGAAGGUGUCCCCAGGCAAGGGAGUGGAGGGACAGACAGGCAUAGCCAGAUUCUUGCUCCAGGCCUGGGACCCUCUCCUCACCUUCCAACUCAACUCCUGCAGUUUCAGCCGUCCUCCACAGAGGAGAGGCUGCCUAGUGAAGGCCUGAGUUGGCCAGCAGCAGCACAGAAGUUCCACUGGCCCGUCCACCCUCACCCACACCCCAUACUGGGGGAAGCGCAGUUCCCCAGGGCCAUCUCACCAGCUAGCCCGGCACUACUGGGAGGUGCAGACAACCUGCCAGUAUCCCCAUUUUGAAUAGACAGCAGAAGUAUUUGGGGCUCACACCCACAACUGCUGCCACUGAUGCAGUGGGGGGCUCAUCCAACAGAGAGCUGGCCCUCGCCCGGGAGCACUAGGGAGUCAGGUCCCUCUCCCCAGCAGAAGGAUAUGAGGACAUUCUCUUUGGAGCACCUGCUUGCUGCUCUGGGCCACCUGCCAGGCCUUCUGCCCCUACCCCAAACUCCUCCUCUUGCACUGUCCCAGGGGUCCCUCCAACCCAGGCCUUGAUGAGUGGGGAGCUCUGUCCCUAGCAGGACCUCCUGGCCAUCCUGCAGCUUUCUCCCUGCACAGGGAGGCACAGGUAGUUUCUUUCUCAGGCCGGUUCUAACACAGAGAAACACACUGGCAGGCCUGCGGCUCCUCCUGAGCCCCGCAGCUGGCCACAGCCCACCUGCCCUCUGUUCUCUCUCCCUCCCACUGUCCCACUGUGGCCUCCCUACCCCUCUCCUUCCUCUCCCCUCUCCCUUUCCCUCUGCUGCAGGAGAACAGCACAACCUUUGCAUUCCAGGCUGCAUGCAGGCUCAUUCAUCCCACGGUCCCUCUUCAAGCUAUGGGGCUUCUGCAGGAAUUCCUGUUGGGUCUUUGAGCCCACAGGCCCUCCUCGCUGGUAGCUGCACAGAGUAGAAAUGCUGGCCUGGUAGGAAGGAUG
RNAcentral lists this long non-coding RNA (1005 nucleotides) under Pan troglodytes (chimpanzee). RNAcentral describes it as "long non-coding RNA NONPTRT015108". The record is from RNAcentral. Lineage: Eukaryota; Metazoa; Chordata; Mammalia; Primates; Hominidae.